This 492-nucleotide ribosomal RNA is filed under the name uncultured bacterium. Its description in RNAcentral is "partial 16S ribosomal RNA". It matches the Rfam family "Bacterial small subunit ribosomal RNA", at positions 29 to 507 of the family's 1533-position model. The record is from RNAcentral.
AGUGAACGCUGGCGGUAGGCCUAACACAUGCAAGUCGAACGGCAGCACAGUAAGAGCUUGCUCUUACGGGUGGCGAGUGGCGGAAGGGUGAGGAAUACAUCGGAAUCUACUUUUUCGUGGGGGAUAACGUAGGGAAACUUACGCUAAUACCGCAUACGACCUACGGGUGAAAGCAGGGGAUCUUCGGACCUUGCGCGAUUGAAUGAGCCGAUGUCGGAUUCGCUAGUUGGCGGGGUAAAGGCCCACCACGGCGACGAUCCGUAGCUGGUCUGAGAGGAUGAUCAGCCACACUGGAAGUGAGACACGGUCCAGACUCCUACGGGAGGCAGCAGUGGGGAAUAUUGGACAAUGGACGCAAGCCUGAUCCAGCCAUACCGCGUGGGUGAAGAAGGCCUUCGGGUUGUAAAGCCCUUUUGUUGGGAAAGAAAAGCAGCAGGUUAAUACCCCGCUGUUCUGACGGUACCAAAAGAAGAAGCACCGGCUAACUUCGUG